ACCUAGAAAGCGAAGAUUGUCGAAUUCAAGACGUAGAUCCAGAUCACGUUCCGUGCGUAGGUCUCUGUCUCCUCGGCGACGUAGGAUACACUCUCCUUUCAGAAGCAGGUCGCGGUCACCUAUUAGACGUCACAGGCGACCUACGCAUGAGGGACGCCGUCAAUCACCAGCCCCUUCAAGACGUCGCCGUUCUCCAUCCCCACCUGCUAGACGGCGCAGGUCACCAUCCCCACCUGCUAGACGGCGCAGGUCACCAUCACCACCUGCUAGACGGCACAGGUCUCCAACACCACCUGCAAGGCAGCGCAGGUCACCAUCGCCCCCUGCUAGGCGUCACCGUUCUCCACCGCCAGCUAGGCGGCGUAGGUCUCCUUCACCGCCAGCUAGGCGGCGUAGGUCUCCUUCACCGCCAGCUAGGCGGCGUAGGUCUCCAUCUCCACUCUACAGGCGUAACAGGUCUCCAUC
This 465-nucleotide long non-coding RNA is filed under the name Arabidopsis thaliana (thale cress). Its description in RNAcentral is "long non-coding RNA (ATHA_LNC000741)". The record is from RNAcentral. Lineage: Eukaryota; Viridiplantae; Streptophyta; Magnoliopsida; Brassicales; Brassicaceae.